RNAcentral lists this transfer RNA (67 nucleotides) under Apis andreniformis. RNAcentral describes it as "tRNA-Leu". Lineage: Eukaryota; Metazoa; Arthropoda; Insecta; Hymenoptera; Apidae. The record is from RNAcentral.
UUUAUUUUAGUGUUAAACACAUAAAAUUUAGAAUUUUAUUUAAUUAAUUUUAAAUUUAUAAAUAAAA